GGAUGAUGGGAUUACUCUUCUUUGGGAAGCAAAGGGUAGCUAUGUGCAAUGGCCACGUGCUUGGGAGAGGUUGAUCAACGAGAUUUCGAAAAAAAGUCAACCAUCAAAGAGAAGGAAGGUGGAGAAGCCUAAAAGCGUUGAUCAACCUACAAAGAAGAUGAGUGAACAAGGGUCGAAGAGUGAACAAGUGUCGAAAAAGAAUUCUUAAAAAGGUUCAGCCAUGCAACCUACUCCACUUGUUGGAGACAAUGUCCUUCAAUCGCUCAUUAAGGAUUUAA
Long non-coding RNA from Chenopodium quinoa (quinoa), 278 nucleotides. RefSeq lists it as uncharacterized. NCBI's taxonomy places the organism in Eukaryota, Viridiplantae, Streptophyta, Magnoliopsida, Caryophyllales, Amaranthaceae. The record is from RefSeq and is a predicted model, not a curated record. The transcript has 3 exons.